GCAAGCCAAAUUUCCCAUAGGGAAAAAUUAAUAUACAGCCUAAGAACUAGCAUUCUGUGCUAAUAAAAACAGUGCUUCAAGUUAAUUGUUAACUCACAGUGACUAUCAGAGGAACAUGUCAGUCUAGGAACAUCACUCCCAAACACUAGAAUCCACAAACGCUAUAACACUUCCCAGCACUGAUGUCCACGGGGGUUUAUUAGUGACUGAAAUCUAAAUUGUAAAGCGUAGGCUGAAAUAUCUAAUUAGGAAAUAUCCCCCAAUUCAGCUUUGAUAACAGCUCAAUUUUAGCCUACAUUUUACAUUUCAAUUUUAAAUUCAGUGUACAAUUCAGUAAAUAAACCACUUUGUAGUAAUGUGAAUUAAAUUUAUUAUCACUCCAGUGUCAUAUACUUGUCAUAGACCUAUAUCUGCUAUAUUACUAUCUUCACAACUAGGCAUUGAUUCCUAAAAAUAUUCCUAACUGUAACCCCUUCCGUGAAUACACAGGCUAUAUUUUGCUUUGCAUAGCAAAGUCAUUUUUUUUUUUUUUAUCUCUUACAAACUCACCGCUUAGUAAACAUGUGCGAAAAUGUGUUUUAAGCAAUUCACCCAGAUAAAAUUCCUGGAAAUCUUUGAAAGAAUUUAUUGGAAAUCAUUUAACAUGUAUUCAUUUGAUUAGUUCCAGUCGUUCCGGUAACAGGAAUCUUAUUCGGAUGAAUCGCUUUAAGCAAAUUUUUUAAUAUGUCUACUGCAUAGUGAAUAAGCUCUUUAAAUUUUACUUAUUACAACAUUAAGGCAUUGAAAGCUCUGGUAGCAUGGCCAAUGCCUUUAUACAUGUGGCUUUAGGUAUUUACAGAGCCAAAUACUUUAUACACUGUAAAUAAAAAAAUAUUCACAUUUUUUUUUUCAUAUUAAUAUAGUACAGCUCUUCCUUUCAUGAUCUGAUUGAUAGGUGGGAUUAGAGACUAAUAGGAAGCUGAUCCUAAACCAGUCUUUGGAGACACCAGUUUGUGUAUUCAAAAGCGCAAUUCAUUUCUGUGUGGUUAUCAACAUUUUGCAAAUGAAUAAAAGCUAAUCAGCCCUAGAAGGACCUUUCGGUGUGCUUAUAAAAGAGACUUAAGCCAAUCCAUCAUCAAUAUGUGAAACAGUUUGGCAUUAAAUAGGGGUAAGACUUGACUCUCCUCAUGUAUCACAUAUCGUAUGAUCAGUUUACUGGGUGCCACCAAAGGCUUUUGGAGAAGUAGAGUAUUUGAAACGGUAUCUUUUUAAAUAGCUGAAGAAGUAAGUUUGAAGCUUAGGAAAGACGAUAAAAGUGAGAAUUGAAUGUUGCAGGUCAAGGCAGUUUUUGAUGUAAAUGAAGGACAGGGUCUCUCAAGUAGCGAAUAGGUAAAGGGCCAUACCAUGUAGGAAUGUAGGGGGGUUCUUAUGAGAGGAGUACAUAAGGGUUAGUGAUUGUGAGAAUUGCUUUUUUCCAACUCUUUAUUUAGAAAGUUUGGGAUUUUAGUAAUCCAGUCAAUAGCGUAAUAGUAUUGUGUGACCAAAUUAUAAUAAAAAAUGUUGGGCACACAACAAAAUACUUUAAAUGUUUGCCCUCCGUUUCAAGUUCACAAAGACAAAAAUCACAGUCUGACCAAUUACUCUACUUAUUUUUUUAGUAAGAUAUGCACCCUAUUGUAUUCCAUCAUCCUUGCUUACUGAUGUGUUUAUCUCUGUCUGACUGUGGAACAAAUAAAUCAUUUUUUGAAAAAAAUGUUGGGCUGGUAGAAGACUUAAAUGUGGACUACGAGUCAGGACAUGACAAUUCUAAAUACCCAGGAAUUUAAUAUAAUAUAGCUGCCAUGUGAGAUUAAAGGUGGGGGAGUUGGGUGGGCUUUAUGAAGGGGCAAAAAAUAAGUCUGGUGCCUGGAAUGUUCAUUUAGAGCUUUAAUUAAACUACAAGUCCCAUCAGCCUAGGAAAAACUGUUGCAUAGUGAGCAUGAUAGGGGGUGCAGUUCUACAACCAAUGGAAAGAUAAUAUUGCAUUUUCUGCAUUAAACAUAAAUGGGGUUUAUAUUUUCAGUGUAGAAUUGCUGUAGAUAAGGAAGUACUAUAAUUAACUCUCUAUUAAACCAUGCUUAACUGGGCAUCAUUUUUACAUUUUGCUAUCAUGCUACAAAACAAGGGGCACAUAUUAUUAAAUAGAGCUUCAAUAUAGAUGGCAGCUUUUAAAAUUACUUCAACUGAUUGCAAUUUCUUUUCAGUUUUAAUUAAUUCCUAUGGCAACUCACUACAGUAUUUAUUGUUUACUGAAUAAACACUUUCAUUAUUUAUUCACGGAAUUAAAAAUCGUGGAUGAUUGCCAAGGUAACGGCAAAAUUUUAAGUAAAAUAAACAGAAUUGAAAAAAAUCCUCCAAAUCAACUAUUUUGAUUUCAUUUUGAUCAUCAAAUGUGGCCUAAAAUGUCCUACGUCAAUUCUCCCCAAUUCUCAGUAUUAUUGAAUAAGCCCCUUGCUAAGCAACAUUGAAAUGUUAAAAAAAAAAAAAACAUGCAUCUUUGUCAUGAUAAAGCCUCUUGUCUGAAAUGACAGUGUGAA
Molecule: non-coding RNA, 2555 nt
Organism: Pelobates cultripes (western spadefoot toad)
Lineage: Eukaryota; Metazoa; Chordata; Amphibia; Anura; Pelobatidae
Source: the annotation of a GenBank genome assembly